This 795-nucleotide non-coding RNA is filed under the name Oreogeton sp. DY-2020. Lineage: Eukaryota; Metazoa; Arthropoda; Insecta; Diptera; Empididae. The record is from RNAcentral.
AUAAAGUUUUAUUUUAACUUAAAAAUUUAUUUUUAGUUUAUUUUAUAUGUAAAUUUUUGUAUGAAUUAUUAAUUGUCUAAAAGAUUAUAAAUAUUUUAUUUAUUCGCAGUAAUUAAUAUUAUUUUUUAAAGAAAUUUAGAAAUAGUAAUAUUAAAUAAUAUUGGCAAAAUUUGUGCCAGCAGCCGCGGUUAUACAAAUAAUAUAAAUAAAUUUUAUUAAUGUGAGUUAAAUUUAAUAAUAUAAAAUAAUAAUAAUUUUAUUAGGUGAAAUUUUAAAAUUAUCAUAUUUUAAAAUAAAAUAAUUGUUGAAGCUUGAAAAUUUUAAUUUUAAACUAGGAUUAGAUACCCUAUUAUUUAAUAUGUAUAUUUAUUUAAAAUGUUAGAGUAGUAAUAGCUAUGUUCUUGAAACUUAAAAAAUUUGGCGGUAUUUUAGUCUAUUCAGAGGAACUUGUUUUAUAAUCGAUAAUCCACGAUGGACCUCACUUAAUUUUGUUUUUCAGUUUGUAUACCGCCGUUAUUAGAAUAUUUUAUAAGAAUAAUAAUUUUCAAAAAUUUUAAUAAAAAUUUAUGUCAGGUCAAGGUGCAGCUAAUGAUUAAGUUUAAAUGAGUUACAAUAAAUUUAUUUAAGCGGAAUUAAUUGUGUAAUAAAUUAAUAAAGAUGGAUUUGAUAGUAAAAUUUAAAAGAUAAUAGAUUUGAUUUUAGCUCUAAAAUAUGUACACAUCGCCCGUCGCUCUUAUUAUUAAGAUAAGAUAAGUCGUAACAUAGUAGAUGUACCGGAAGGUGUUUCUAGAAUGA